CACGUAGGGUGCGAGCGUUGUCCGGACUUAUUGGGCGUAAAGAGCUCGUAGGCGGUUUGGCGCGUCGGCCGUGAAAACCUGCAGCUUAACUGUGGGCUUGCGGUCGAUACGGGCAUCACUGGAGUUCGGCAGGGGAGACUGGAAUUCCUGGUGUAGCGGUGAAAUGCGCAGAUAUCAGGAGGAACACCGGUGGCGAAGGCGGGUCUCUGGGCCGAUACUGACGCUGAGGAGCGAAAGCGUGGGGAGCGAACAGG
Molecule: ribosomal RNA, 254 nt
Filed under: uncultured bacterium
Lineage: Bacteria
Description: partial 16S ribosomal RNA
Rfam family: Bacterial small subunit ribosomal RNA
Source: RNAcentral